CAGGAUCACGAAUUUAUCGUGUUUUUUCAGUCUCUAGCCUUUCUCUGGCAUCGCUGAACACAGGUGAUAACGAGAGUGUUCACUCAGGCAAGAGGACACCAAGGUCAGAGUCUGUGGAAGGCUUCUUAUCUCCAAGUCGCUGUGGCAGUCGAAAUGGAGAAAAGGACUGGGAAAACGCAUCAACAACCUCCUCAGUGGCUUCUGGAACAGAAUAUACAGGACCAAAGCUCUACAAAGAACCCAGUGCAAAAUCUAAUAAACACAUAAUACAAAAUGCCUUAGCUCAUUGCUGUUUGGCUGGAAAAGUAAAUGAAGGUCAGAAGAAAAAAAUACUGGAGGAAAUGGAGAAGUCAGAUGCCAACAACUUCCUGAUCUUGUUCCGGGAUUCAGGCUGCCAGUUCAGGUCUUUGUAUACAUAUUGCCCAGAAACUGAAGAAAUCAAUAAGCUGACUGGGAUAGGCCCUAAAUCCAUCACUAAAAAAAUGAUUGAGGGACUUUACAAAUACAAUUCUGACAGGAAACAGUUUAGCCACAUACCUGCUAAAACUUUAUCUGCCAGUGUUGAUGCAAUUACCAUUCAUAGCCAUUUAUGGCAGACCAAAAGACCAGUAACACCCAAGAAACUUUUACCUACUAAGGCAUAGGAGUUGGGAAAUACCUGCUUCAGAACAUUUGUGGUAAGUUUGCACUUCCUCUUUCCUGCCUAUAGAAAACCUUUCUAAUUGCCAACAGACUUUAUUCAUUAAAACUGGACAUUAACUGUUGUCAUGAACAACUGGAAUGUACACCACAGUAUUUUGGAAUGCAGAAGAUUCUCACUUGGGAGAUAAGUCUCAGUGAUGAAGGAAAUAUUUGAUUCACAAGUGGAGACUUCUAUGUGUUGCCAGGUUUGCCUGCUGGUAGUAGAGACAGUGAAGCACUGAGUUCAUGGACACAGUGGGACUAUGGUUGAAAUGUGGCUAGGAUUGCAAAUUAUGUGUUGUGUUUGUUGCUUUUUUUUUUUUUAACCUUUUACUGUAUAUACUUGUCUUCAGAUGAUUUAUUUUGUUGCUUUUCUCUCUUGGGAGUUUAUUCUAAGAUACCUUUGUAUUUUGUUCUAUGUGGAGAUCAUGAAAGUAGGAAGUACACCGUCAGAAGUAACUCGCACCUUUCUUAUGAUGUUAAGAAAAACACUAGUGUUAUGUUUUACAAUAAGCCUCAUGUUUUAAUGGUGUUAUAGCAUUUGCAAAAAUUAUUCUAAGUAUUUACAAUUCUGUAUUAUUUAUUCACUCAAGUAUUAACAUUUCUCUACUAAAUAAGAGGAGGUGUAAAGAGCUGCUAAAUAGUUUGCUUUAAACCACAUGAGCUUAACCAAGAAUAUGUUCUAAGAAGUUGCUGAUUAAAUCAGUGCUGUUUCACACCACUCUGGCCAACUUAGAAUAAUUUAGAUUGUUCUUUUAACAAAAAAAACCUUUCUAUAUCUUUUAAAGUAAGUCACUUUAUAAGCUGGCAGAAAUGAAUGACACUUUGAGAGUAGUCUUUCAGUAUGAAGAUGUAAGACUUCCUGAAACAAGUUCUCAGGGGGUCUUUACAUUAUAUUUAUAACUGAUAUAAAAUUAUAUUUAGAAUUUUAAAACAUGUACAAAGGGCUACAUUUUAAUUUUAAAAUAGCUUCACAUUAUUUUACUUCUAUUGAGUUUUUCUUCUUUUUAAUCCUUUUAAAGUGGAACAGCUUAGAUUAAGGACACACUUGAAAUCUCCUCUCAUGAUCUUUGUUCUUUAGCAAUGUAUACCAGAGGGUUAGUUGGGGAAAACCUUCAUUCUCAGGAAAAGACUUGAAUGAUUAUGUGACCCUGUUAUGUUUCAGUGUUGUGACAACUGUGUAAACUGGGCGGGGGGGCGGGGAAGACAGUAUUGUAUCAUAAAUGAGAUGUGUGGUUUGUUUUCUUUCAUGGAUGUAGAGAUGAAAAAUAUAUACAUUUCUCUGAGUUGUUUGGAAAGAAAACUAAUGUCUCACACGAUGCAUUUAUUUUAAAAACAGAUAGGAAGGAGAUGGCCUGAGCUGUACUUUCUAUCAUGAGGCCUUCAGGCAUCGGUGCAUCUGGGUUAUCAACAUUUUCUCAAAUGCUGUCAAUAUUUUACUGUAAUUUAUGUUCUUAUAUUUAUGUAUAUUUGUUAAAACUGUAAAAAAAAUUUCACAGAUUUUUUUUCUCAAUACUUGUGCAAGAUAUAUGUGUAGCUCAAAACUAUUCGUGAUCUGCUGUUUGCAUGUAAGAGACCAGGCUAUGUAGCUCUUAUAUUUUCAUUGUAUACAUAUUAUGUAUAUAGUAUAUGAAUAUUAAAAUGGGGAAUUGCACAUUUUACCUUUCAGACAAGUUCUAUUACAAUGAGAAAGAAAUGAUCAUCAAAUACAUGUUUGUUUAGAUUAGGACUAGUUUAAAAAUUCUAAGCGAACCUAAUCAAAAUGUGGUGCAUAAUAGUCAAAAGAAGGAUUUAAUAAGCAUUUUACAUUACUAAAUUUUCUUUUCAGCCAGUUAAGUUUUCCUUAUCAAAGAAAUCUUGAUUAUUCCCUGGGAAUUACAUAAGGAAGAACUGGGCGCAAGACAGUGGAGGAACUGUCUCAGGCUAACAGGCUGACUGCCCUUGUCCCUAAACGUGAGUGUCCAUGUGUCUGAAGGUAGAAUGUGAAUAUGGCCGCAAAGUUCAUUGCUCUCAGUAUAACAUUUUACUUUAUUAAUGCAAAAGGAAUACGGAUAUAUUUAAGUCUGCAGAUUUUUUAAUGAUGGUGCAGCUUUUUUACAAUUAUGUUUUAAAUUAUACAAAUGAAAACUAGCUAUUUCAUAAAGUUGAGGGAUUUCUGUCAACCUUACUGAAAUACACUGGUGCUUUCAUCAUCAGAGGUCAAAUUAUUAUUACAAUUAUUGAAUUGAAUUUGCCAAACACAGUCCUAGCUACCAGUGUAGCCUGUCAGAUUCUGCUAUUUGACACAGCUUUGGAAAGCUUUUAAUUCCUCUUGGCUUUUCGAUUUUGUUUCAGAAUGACUGUUACAGUUUUUAUUUGGCUGUUUAAAGCCAGAGUCAGCUAUUUUAAUUAUGAUUUCACAGACACUGUUGGGCAAUGUAUGGUGUAUGGCGUGUUUACCUGUCCACUCUAGAGCAUUGCUUACAGGUUUGUAAAAGAUGCUGUGCUGUAAAAUACUGUCGUAUUUGCUAUUUCCUGGUACAGUGUAGUUCCCCUCGCGUUUGAAUAAAAGCAUGGCACCAAAUGA
This is a non-coding RNA of Castor canadensis (American beaver), 3247 nucleotides long. The record is from RefSeq and is a predicted model, not a curated record. NCBI's taxonomy places the organism in Eukaryota, Metazoa, Chordata, Mammalia, Rodentia, Castoridae.